UACGUAGGGGGCGAGCGUUGUCCGGAUUCAUUGGGCGUAAAGAGCUCGUAGGCGGCUCAGCAAGUCGGGUGUGAAACCUCCAGGCUCAACCUGGAGACGCCACUCGAUACUGCUGUGGCUAGAGUCCAGUAGGGGAGCGUGGAAUUCCUGGUGUAGCGGUGAAAUGCGCAGAUAUCAGGGGGAACACCAGCGGCGAAGGCGGCGCUCUGGGCUGGAACUGACGCUGAGGAGCGAAAGCGUGGGGAGCAAACAGG
RNAcentral lists this ribosomal RNA (254 nucleotides) under uncultured bacterium. Its description in RNAcentral is "partial 16S ribosomal RNA". It matches the Rfam family "Bacterial small subunit ribosomal RNA", at positions 524 to 776 of the family's 1533-position model. The record is from RNAcentral.